AAACUUGCUCGAAAAAGACAACCAACCUCCUCGGACUUCAGGCCCGAAGAGAACUUCCUAUUUGAACUCUACACCUCCUUCGUCCAUAAUACCGACAACCACCAGUUCAGCAAUAGCUCUAUCAUGGACCUGAUCAACGAGGGACUGAAGUACCAAGCUAGAGUAAGCUUAACUUAUCCAUUUACAUCUCGGCCCAUUAAUUUUGAACUGAUAGAUUAACACUGAUCAUCCGCAGGCAAGCACUGUCUUCGGAUGCCUCCGCCCCAAAUACCAAGAGGCCGAAGCCGAAGAGAAAGCUGCUCGAAGAGAGAAUACCCUGCUUAAGUCUGCUCUGACGAAAGAUAGAAGUAGUCUCAAAGUUGCUUUUCACGAUAAUGAGUGCCUUCAGAAAGACCUUGCCCAAACCAAAGAAGAUUUGAAAACGUCCCUGGCCACUCACCAAGUCAUCACUGAUAUAAAUAUUGAUCUGUCAAGCUAAAGGAUCAAAGCAUCUAGUACAUCGUCAGAAGCUCGAAGAAGAGCUCAAAGAGCUUCGGGCCCUUAAGAAUUUGAGUUCGCCACUGACCGAAGACUUUCGUAGGGAUAUCCAGGCCUAAUACAGAAAAUCCGCCGAGCUGAACAAUAAGAUCGUCCAUAUGUAUGCGAAAGGAUAUGAAAUCUGCUGAAGUAAAGGCAAGAAAAAGCUCAGGCCAAGGUAGAUCCAUCUCUUCUAGACUCUUUAGAUGGUAACGAUGACAAGGAAGAAGCCUGAAGAUGACCUCUCCUUAUCUCUAGCUGUAGAACUUUCUGUGAAAAUUCUAACUUUAUGUAAACAGUUAAUAUUUAAUGAAAUAUCAACUUCAUGCCUUAUUACUUCUGUAUGAACAUUUCUUGUCAAUAAUUCAGUAUCAAUUAAUCUGUAUGAACUUAACUUAGAAUAUGAAUUAGAUAAGGUGUAUAACAGUUAAUUUAUGAAAUGAAGUGAACUGAAUUUAAUGAAUAGAAUUUAAUGAAAAGUAUUGAAUGAACUGAACUCAACACUUGAACAAAAUAAAGUAAUGUAUAUUUAUCGUUUCCGAAGUGUGAGAUCGGUCAUGUGUGAAGUGAAUUCGGCUGAUCCUCCUUGCACCAUCAAAAUCUUGUUUACCGCUCGGGGUGAAACAAUUAUAUAAGGACCAAGAUAUAAGGACCAAGAUAUAAGGAUCAAGAUAUAAGAAUCAAGAUAUAAGGAUGACACUUGCCUACCACGAAGGGCCUGACAAGGUCUAAGUGACGAUAAUUGCCUACCACGAAGGGCCUAACAAUGCCAAAAGAUGACACUUGCCUACCACGAAGGGCCUGACAAGGUCUAAGUGACGACAAUUGCCUACCACGAAGGGCCUGACAAUGCCAAAAGAUGACACUUGCCUACCACGAAGGGCCUGACAAGGUCAUAAGGACCACCUGCCGAAGAGGCCACCAUCGAAUGGUCAGCGAGUCCUCCCGAACCUCCU
This 1472-nucleotide long non-coding RNA is filed under the name Panax ginseng (ginseng). RNAcentral describes it as "long non-coding RNA (PGIN_LNC014795)". The record is from RNAcentral. Lineage: Eukaryota; Viridiplantae; Streptophyta; Magnoliopsida; Apiales; Araliaceae.